CAAUAGCGUAUAUUAAAGUUGUUGCGGUUAAAAAGCUCGUAGUUGGAUUUCUGCUGAGGACGAUCGGUCCGCCCACUGGGUGAGUAUCUGGCUCGGCCUUGGCAUCUUCUUGGAGAACGUUGCUGCACUUGACUGUGUGGUGCGGUAUCCAGGACUUUUACUUUGAGGAAAUUAGAGUGUUUCAAGCAGGCGCACGCCUUGAAUACAUUAGCAUGGAAUAAUAAGAUAGGACCUUGGUUCUAUUUUGUUGGUUUCUAGAGCUGAGGUAAUGAUUAAUAGGGAUAGUUGGGGGCAUUCGUAUUUAACUGUCAGAGGUGAAAUUCUUGGAUUUGUUAAAGACGGACUACCGCGAAAGCAUUUGCCAAGGAUGUUUUCAUUGA
This 380-nucleotide ribosomal RNA is filed under the name uncultured eukaryote. RNAcentral describes it as "partial 18S ribosomal RNA". It matches the Rfam family "Eukaryotic small subunit ribosomal RNA", at positions 592 to 976 of the family's 1831-position model. The record is from RNAcentral.